Molecule: ribosomal RNA, 325 nt
Filed under: uncultured eukaryote
Lineage: Eukaryota
Description: partial 18S ribosomal RNA
Rfam family: Eukaryotic small subunit ribosomal RNA
Source: RNAcentral
CCCUUAGAUGUCCUGGGCCGCACGCGCGCUACACUGACUGCUCCAACAAGUUACCUGGGCUGACAAGCAUCCGGGAAAUCUUGCAAAGGCAGUCGUGAUGGGGAUAGAUUCUUGUAAUUUUUGAUCUUCAACGAGGAAUUCCUAGUAAACGCAAGUCAUCAGCUUGCAUUGAUUACGUCCCUGCCCUUUGUACACACCGCCCGUCGCAUCUACCGAUUGAAUGGAGAGGCAAAAUCUUCGGACCGUGACGCUUGGGAGUCAAAUCUCGGGCUGUCGUGGGAAGUGGAUUAAACCUUUCUAUUUAGAGGAAGGUAAAGUCGUAACA